UCUGUUUCCUGUCUCACUGCUCGUCUUUGAGCUUCAGAUUAUACCAUUUCCUCUCACACCUGUGACUGUGUCACGUCCUGAUCCUUCCACCCCUGCCCGUAUUUAUCUAUUCUUUUUAUUUCUCUCUCCCGCUCUCUCUCCCUCAAUGUAGGGGAUUUUGUUUUGGAAAAAUAUUUAGGCUGUGUCCUCAGUCUUUCUCAGCCUGGGGUCUAGCUUACCUGUGUCAACAUGGUGACGGCGCCAGGUGUACUGACGACCCUUGUGUUAACAGGAUUGUGUGUCCACGUCACAGUGAUUCGUGGCAGGACGUGGAGAGUUGUGUGCGGUUCUCCUCCCAGCUGUGUGACCUGUCCGAGGCCUUCUCUAACUUCGAGGUGUACAACAUGAUCCGCCUGGGCCUCCACCAGGGCCCGGGGAGUCCAGCCUGGACAGAAAAUCUGGGGUUUGGCGUCCGUGAUUUCAACUUCAGCAGCCCCUCUGUCUUGGUCUCUCUGUCUGGAGAGAUGCUGGGAGUGGAGGUGCACUUACCUUGUUCUAGCAAAAGGGAGUGUCUUCCUCUGCAGAGUUGCUGUCCACUGUCAAAAUUUAUUGACCUCUGGGUCACCGUGACAGUAUAUGACCGGCAGAACCCCUCCGACUACAAGACGCAGAUUGGUUUGGUCCAGACGAUGGUGUAUGGGGCAGAGUUCUCAAACCUGGUCCCAGGACAUGACUACUGUGUCGUGGCUAACUUCUCCAUCAGUCCGGCCACCUUCCCCCAGGCCUCGUCUCCUCCCUCGGACCCCAGUUGUGUCCACCAUGCUGGCCCAGGACUAGGCAUCUCUUCAGGCAUUCCUCCAGGACCUACCGGAGUCCCCUUCAGACCCUGUUGACCCCAGUGACAUUGUAGACGACCACCUCUCCAUCCUGUCCUCUUUCUCCAGCUGUGUCUACACCGAGGCCCAGGCCCCAAGCCUGGGUAAUGGGUACAACAGCAACCCCUUCCUCCGUGACUAUAGGUCAGGCAACAUGCACUGGAACACUGAGAGAAUGGAGCUGGACCUGAACUCAGGCAGCACCAUAUCCCUGCCAUGCUCCACUGUGCCUAUAGGCCUGCAUAUGAUCCAGUGCAGCUUUGAUUCACCUCGACAACCACAUCCAGGGCCCAAUGUGCCAGUUCUACCGUACCCUGGUUCUCUAUCUCUGUCAGAGGCCGUGGAGGGCCAGGUGGUCCCGUUGUGUUCUGUGAGGUUUGGGAGGGUGAGUGAUGGGUGUGAGAACCUUGAGGGACUACAGUGGUGUAACCUGUAGCAUGUUGCACUGCAGUACUCACAAUGCCAUGUUUAACAUAUUCCUAUGAACUCCACAGUGCUGAGAGGAGUUCAAAAACUUUAUUGACCAUUUUUGUUGAAAAUUGUAAUUUUUUUCCCUCAGCUUACAGACAUACAUUUUCAGUUCCAACAGGACUGUGGUAUGGUCCAGCACCUUACCAAGGUCAACCAUAACAGGGACAAUACUGGACAGUGCAAUCAUAAACACAUACACUCUUAGAAAAAAGGGUUUCAAAAGGGUUCUUCGGCUGUCCCCAUAGGAGAACCCUUUUCGGAACCAAAACUAUUCUUCCUGGAACCAAAAAGGGUUCUUCAAUGGGUUAUCCUAUGGGGACAGCCGACAAGGUUCUAGAUGGCACCUUUUUUUUUCUAAGGGGGGUUUAUUAUUCUGACUCCCCUUUAAAUUUACUUUGUCUACUGUGCCAAGUGUCUUUUCAGCUCUUUUUCUGUGUCAUAAUAGGUUGUUCUUCCCCCUCUCUCUGCCUUGCUUCUGACUCACUGUUGCCCCAUCCCAUCUCCGGCCUGACCCCCACUGUCUCUUACCCGUGUCUGACAUCUCAUUCUGGGGGAGGAGGGCAGAGGGUAGGGGAACAUCUCUCUCCUGCCUCUUGUUUCACUGGUGGUGCACUUUCCCCGGAACAUUAGAACAUUCGGGGGUAGAGACAGAGGAGACGUUGGAUGGGAAACAGUGAUUGGCCCUAUUGUUCUGGAAACCACAUAGCCUGUGUAUGGCUCAUAAUAAUAUCACUGUCUGGAGGAUUUUGAUUCAUGUAUUCAUGUUGUUGGUCUAAUAUUGGGGUUGGAUCAUGAGUCCAAACUAAGCAGUGUGUUUGCUUGCCAAUCAUAAAUGCUAAUUCUCAGGCAUCCAACAGGUAUCGCAUCUAACCUUGCACUUGGGUUUUUGGAGCAACUUUUAUGGGUUCUGCUGUAUUUGCAGUCAAUUCACCGGAAACCUGAUCCAAAAUGGUCGCUUUGUGGCUCACUCUUCACUGGUGUGUGCUGGCUAGCUCUGCAGCUGAGGUGGUGAAGUUGGAUUGGGGAUUUACGUGGUGUUUGACAGGCAGUAAAAAAUGUUGGGGGGGGCUUGCCUGUUAUGCAUGUUAUUUUGGCAUUAAAUGUCACAUCAGUUUGCAAACAAUGCAAUAAAAAUAAAUCAAUGAGUUAAUAAAGCCG
Long non-coding RNA from Oncorhynchus tshawytscha (Chinook salmon), 2483 nucleotides. Lineage: Eukaryota; Metazoa; Chordata; Actinopteri; Salmoniformes; Salmonidae. The record is from Ensembl.